RNAcentral lists this ribosomal RNA (480 nucleotides) under uncultured bacterium. RNAcentral's name for it is "partial 16S ribosomal RNA". It matches the Rfam family "Bacterial small subunit ribosomal RNA", at positions 28 to 507 of the family's 1533-position model. The record is from RNAcentral.
GACGAACGCUGGCGGCGUGCUUAACACAUGCCAGUCGAACGAUGAAAGAGAAUCCGAUCUCUUCGGAGUGAAGAAUCUCUGGAUUAGUGGCGGACGGGUGAGUAACGCGUGAGCAAUCUGCCUUACACAAAGGGAUAGCCUCGGGAAACCGGGAUUAAUACCAUAUGAUAUCUAUUAACCGCAUGGUCUAUAGAUUAAAGAAUUUCGGUGUAAGAUGAGCUCGCGUCCCAUUAAUUAGUUGGUGAGGGUAACGGCCCACCAAGAUAGCGAUGGGUAGCCGAUCUAAGAGGAUGACCGGCCACAUUGGAACUGAGAAACGGUCCAAACUCCUACGGGAGGCAGCAGUGGGGAAUAUUGCACAAUGGGGGAAACCCUGAUGCAGCGACGCCGCGUGAGCGAUGAAGGCUUUCGAGUCGUAAAGCUCUGUCCUAUGGGAAGAUAAUGACGGUACCAUAGAAGAAAGCCCCGGCUAAUUACGUG